This 202-nucleotide ribosomal RNA is filed under the name uncultured bacterium. Its description in RNAcentral is "partial 16S ribosomal RNA". It matches the Rfam family "Bacterial small subunit ribosomal RNA", at positions 1300 to 1500 of the family's 1533-position model. The record is from RNAcentral.
GUAGUCUGNAACCCGACUACAUGAAGCUGGAAUCGCUAGUAAUCGCGGAUCAGAAUGCCGCGGUGAAUACGUUCCCGGGUCUUGUACACACCGCCCGUCACACCAUGGGAGUCGGAAAUGCCCGAAGUCUGUGACCCAACCAUUAAGGAGGGAGCAGCCGAAGGCAGGUCGGAUGACUGGGGUGAAGUCGUAACAAGGUAUC